GCUGAAGUCACUUACGGUUGAGACAAUAGAUCUCAUCUUAAGGGAGGAAGAGAAGAAGGGCGUUUACGUCACUCAAACGGAUCUUGUCAGAUGGGCCAAACGUCUUGAUAAGAGGAACAACACGCCUGAAAACUCUCUCGAGAUCUUUAGGUGGAUGGAUAAAAAGAAGAUGGUGUUUUCUCCCUAGGAACUUGAGAUUUAUGUGGAUCUUCUUGGCAAGGUUAAAGGAGAUGCAGCGGCUUCAGCGUACUUCAACAAAGUAGAGCCAAAUUUCGUUGAGAUGGACGUUGAUGCCAAAAACCGCCCUGCCUACUUGAAGGUCUUGCAUUGGUUCCACGUUGCAGACCAGAGUCGGACUAAAGGGCCAAGACCAUAUGUUCUUAAGCUCCCUAAACUUGAUGAUCCUGAAUGGGCUAAGAAUGCUACUCCUAUUACUCCUGCUCAAAAAAGAAAUCUUUUUUCCAAGCUCAGAUCCUCUGAAACCACCUGUGACGACCUUUUGAGAGAGAUGGAGGACCAAGGAUUCCGCAUCACCAAAGCAGAUCUAAACCGCUGGAUGAAACUCCUCGAAAAACAAGGACAAACAGAGAAAGUUCUAGAGAUCCGUUGCUUUAUGAACUGGAAACGCCUUGGCCUUUACUACUCUAGGAUGAGAACGCCUCUUUGAUACAGAAAGCUGAGGCACAGCCGCACAAGGAAGGAUCUGAGUUUGUGUCGCUUGAUCCUGUGAAAGGCGAGUGGAAGUUUCAUGUCUAUCAUUUUAGUUCCUAUAAACUUGACAAUGAAGGGAAAAUGAAUUCUAGGGUCUCAUCUCAGUGUUGGAAUUGCUUUGUGUAGGGAAUGUUGGAAUUAUGCAAUAAGAAACAGAACUCUACUCCAUUUGUUGUGUGUUUCGAUACCUUUCUUACAGACUUUUUGCAUGGCUAUGUAAAGAACCUAUUAUUCUACGUACGUCGAUUACUAGUGCUAGGAUUUAGCAGAGGAAACAGAGGGGAUAGUGAUCAAGAGUGAUAUGUAACAGUAUAUUACAUUUCUAUGAAAUGGAUUCGUUAGAAGCAACAUGAAAAAUUACUAAAUAAUAAUAAUUGAUGAUAUGUUGAGAACAAAAUAAGUU
RNA transcript from Raphanus sativus (radish), 1114 nucleotides. RefSeq lists it as uncharacterized. The transcript has 3 exons. The record is from RefSeq and is a predicted model, not a curated record. Lineage: Eukaryota; Viridiplantae; Streptophyta; Magnoliopsida; Brassicales; Brassicaceae.